GCGGGUUGUGCACUUGUGGUGGCCUCUACUACUUUGCAAAGCCAUUGCCAAUGGAUUUCACCCUACCACACACAAGGUUAGUCCGUUACCGCAUAAUAGGCCUCCAAGUAGCGCCUACACUAGGACCUCCUACUACUCUCACCACAUGCAUCAAUCUUCUCGAAUUGAGAAUGAAAGAUCAUUAGAGUGUUAGGAUAACCCCGAAG
This 206-nucleotide long non-coding RNA is filed under the name Vigna radiata. Its description in RNAcentral is "long non-coding RNA (VRAD_LNC008278)". Lineage: Eukaryota; Viridiplantae; Streptophyta; Magnoliopsida; Fabales; Fabaceae. The record is from RNAcentral.